GUCUGACACAAACGACUUCUCGUUCUUCAGCCAUGAGACUUCUGGGGUAGGAUCGCCCCAGACAGUACAAGACAGAUUGAGUGCCUGCAGAACAAGUACAAAAGGGCCCCAUCUCCAAACACAGAACCAAAGAAAUCUGUUAAUGAUGGAAGCAUGUGACAGUCCUGCUCUAUGAUGAGUACUGUGAUCUUCUUCAUUAGAAAGAAUGCUCUAUCUAACUAUCAGUAUUGCAACAAAAACAUGCCACGAGUUGUCUUUGGGAAUAACAAGCUCUGCUGCUGGAAACAACCACGUGUGAGUUUUCCCUUGGUGCAACACAUUCUUCCAAACAGCAAAAGCAUGUGAGAAGAGAGCACAAGUGGCCAUAAAUAAAAGACACUGGAUGAUCUGAGCUACUGCAGUGAUUCCUUGAAGAUGACAGUAAUUGCUUACCUGUGAGUAGGUAACUACUUUCUUCCUUACAAUUCAGGACCUUCUGCAGUCCCCACUAGUUAACAGACCAUGAGGUACUCACAGAGGAGGCAGGAAGGAAGUUUAUAAACUCAUUCAGUAGAAUUUAGCUGGAACUCAGAACUAUAGACAAAGUCUUUCUAGUGGGUGGUGUUUUCAAUGACAUGUUUUUUCUGAUGUAAAUGCACUAGCACUGAAUUCUAAUUGGAAGCGUAUUGGAGAUAUGAAUGCUCAUUUGUU
Molecule: long non-coding RNA, 690 nt
Organism: Coturnix japonica (Japanese quail)
Lineage: Eukaryota; Metazoa; Chordata; Aves; Galliformes; Phasianidae
Source: RefSeq, a predicted model, not a curated record